This 253-nucleotide ribosomal RNA is filed under the name uncultured bacterium. RNAcentral's name for it is "partial 16S ribosomal RNA". It matches the Rfam family "Bacterial small subunit ribosomal RNA", at positions 524 to 776 of the family's 1533-position model. The record is from RNAcentral.
UACGUAGGGCGCAAGCGUUGUCCGGAAUUAUUGGGCGUAAAGAGCUCGUAGGCGGUCUGUCGCGUCGGCUGUGAAAACCCGAGGCUCAACCUCGGGCCUGCAGUCGAUACGGGCAGACUAGAGUGCUGUAGGGGAGAAUGGAAUUCCUGGUGUAGCGGUGAAAUGCGCAGAUAUCAGGAGGAACACCCGUGGCGAAGGCGGUUCUCUGGGACGGUACUGACGCUGAGACGCGAAAGCAUGGGGAGCGAACAGG